This is a long non-coding RNA of Bufo gargarizans (Asiatic toad), 810 nucleotides long. RefSeq lists it as uncharacterized. The transcript has 3 exons. Lineage: Eukaryota; Metazoa; Chordata; Amphibia; Anura; Bufonidae. The record is from RefSeq and is a predicted model, not a curated record.
UCUGAGGACUUUUUUUUCCCGGCAAUGAGUGUUUAUAGCCAUCGAUGUAUCUUCUAUUCAUCCGCAUGGUAACCAUCCCCUGUAGGACCAUAAAUGGUGAUCAUUUUGGCUGCCUCCUCACAUUCCCAGACCCAGAAUUAACAAGAAAACACCUGAGCCCUGUUCCUAGACGUGUAUUUGAGGUCCAGUGGCUUGGAUCUGAUGUCAGUCCGUGGCCGACGUGCAGAAUAAAUAUCCAUCUUUGUCCGCCCGGCAAAGACGGAACACUGGACAUCUUCAUUGGCGUCACUGUAAGGACAUGGAGAUUAUGAAGUGAGCAGAAGCCAGAGGGACAACAUGAUGGUCAGGUUUUUGCUGCAGUUCUAGAGAACCGCUAUGGGGACAACUUGUGUGCCCUCAUGUGCAAAUUUUGAUCCUGCAGCUGUGGAAGGGAGAAGAUGCCCCAGGCUAAGAAGAAAUGAGAUCUCGAAAUUUGACCGAUAUUCUAAGAAAAAGCCAUUAUAUCCCCCGACUUGAGCGUAAUGUUUUUGGGAAUCAGGGCCCUGAACUAGGGCUCAUUUACUUAUGGAAAUUGCAUGGCGUACAAUUACAUGACUAGAUACUUUACUGUUUGAAAUUCUACCUAGUCCAUCAUAUUGCAUGUAGGUAGUUGUAAUAUAUUUUGCAACAUGCCUCUGUGGAAUAAUUUACAUUGGCAUGACCAGGAGAAAGCUUGGAGGGGUUGUCCCCCAAAAAGUAUUCUACAUUUUUCAAACCAGCUCCUGGAUAUUAAUUGUUUUGUGAUUUCUUAUAAUUAAAAAUGUAAUACAG